Molecule: transfer RNA, 68 nt
Filed under: Eubacterium limosum
Lineage: Bacteria; Bacillati; Bacillota; Clostridia; Eubacteriales; Eubacteriaceae
Also listed under: 10 other names
Rfam family: tRNA
About the family: Transfer RNA (tRNA) molecules are approximately 80 nucleotides in length. Their secondary structure includes four short double-helical elements and three loops (D, anti-codon, and T loops).
Source: RNAcentral
CAGAUAGCUCAGUCGGUAGAGCAGAGGACUGAAAAUCCUCGUGUCGGUGGUUCGAUUCCGCCUCUGGG